Non-coding RNA from Notechis scutatus (mainland tiger snake), 2223 nucleotides. The record is from RefSeq and is a predicted model, not a curated record. NCBI's taxonomy places the organism in Eukaryota, Metazoa, Chordata, Lepidosauria, Squamata, Elapidae.
GGAGAUUUUUGGCUCAGGUGUCUUUUUUUUUUUAAAGGUUCUUGCUGUGAAAAUUAGCAACACAGCUCAUCUGAAGAACCGGUAGAUCUUGUUUAGACUUGAUGUUGAAAGCAUUCUUCAUUACAGUAUAUCCCUUGCUAUAACAAGAAAUGCCAGUGUUACUAUUUUGAGCAGAGUUUCCCAAGGUAUAUUUUAGUACUGUAAUUUCCAAAGCGCUUCAUCAGUACGGUCUUUAGUUAGACCCUGGUCUGAAAGCUUGAUUUUAAAAUUUGCAUUUGAAAUCUUAUUCUUUGGUCAACCAGUGAAAAUGGUUGAUAUGGACAAGUACAAAGCAGCCUUUUCAGCUGUUGCUUAGUGUUUGAAAUAAGCAAAUCCACCUAUUUGCCUGUGUGGCCCAGGCAUGGGAGCUGGCUAAAAAAAAGUAUUAACCCAGGAAGCUAUAUUUGAUUUGCAGCAAUCAAUUUGUUACAUAUGUUGUUAGUCAACUAAUUUGUGUGGGGAUUUUCCUAAUGACAAAAGUGCAAGGGAAGCAGUGCGUGACAACUUGGUACUAUUUAUGACAUAAUUUUCCAAGGCCAUUUUCUUUGUUGUUAUUAGUUUUGAGUGAUGUCGUUUCAUUAGUAAUGUUUUAUGUAUUGUAUUUUCUUUUGUUAAUUAAUUUAGCACAAUAACAUUCGUUUUAGAAAGAAGCAAUUUCAGAAGGAAAUUCCAAUUUGCACGUUAAUUUUAGAAUAUUGUUAAAUACAUUCUGCAGCUAACAUUAUUUCAGCAAAGGAUGCAUUGAAUUUUAAGGACUGUCGUUGUGGUUUUGUUGUGCAAUUGCUUUUAAAAGCCUGGUUUGUACUUACCCAUAUCACUACUGAAAUAUAUUUAAGGGUUCGUAAUAAACAUUUUAGCCUAUGAACAGUAGUACCUGUAUUUAACAUUUAUUCAACAACUAAGCAUGGCACAGAAGUUAUACAUGGCUUUAUAAAUCUAAUUAGGAACUUCAAAGAAUGAAUGUUAUUUUCCUUUAAGAAAUUACUUGAGGUACUAAGGUAAUCAGAUGGGUCAGAAUAUUCUAUAGUACUUGAAGAGCUAAGCAGAGAUUGCAGGUUUUCUCAUGCCUUUCGUAAGCAGAAUGUGAGUUUUGAUCCUAACAGGUUGUGAAGGGCUACAGGAAGAAGAGAAAAGCUGAAUCUGCAUCGUUUUCUACAGCCUUUGGAAUAUUUUGAGACAUGUACAUCUUGCAUCUCCAGCUGGUAUUCAACGUGAGAAUAAAACCCUUCUGCAUGUUGGACCAAGGAAAACGUCGGGAUCCUUGAGCAUGAUUCAUUUCCUGCACAGAAAGCAUUUCUGCAGCUGAAAAAAGAGUUGAAAUGUGUGCCGAAAAAUCUAUGGAGAAAACAUCCACUACCGAUUAAGCAAAAUCUUGAGUAAUACGAAGCCUGAGGAAAUUGAGAAUGACAAUGCCAUCUGAUAACAUGUCUCCUGGAUAAACUAAGCAGCCAAAGAAGAAUCCUUUUCAUGAAUACUUCUGGGGAAUCAUGUUUAUUUCAAGAUAAGCACCGAAGAACCAGUAUUAAAUCACUGCUUAUAAUGAUCGGCCUUUAUUAGCAUAUUGAACAUGCAAUCUAGCUCUGCUUUUUUAGGCACAUGCCUGUUUUUGCUCAGCUCCUCUCACCUGGCUUGCAAUUUACAGAACUUUAAGGAAACACUAUACUAAGUGCAACAUAUGGCCAAUGGUACACCUGCCCUCUACUUAGCACCUGCUGAAUAGCUCUGUGGGAGUCGGGCUUCUGCCUACAGCUUUGAGGGCCAAGGGGCAAAAGCAUUCCAGCUCAUUUGCAUGCCGGACUGAAGCCACGUGCCUGGACUUUGGACACGGCUAACUCAGCAGCCUGGCAGGGCUUUCUGUAUUAUUAGCAAAUCUGAAGAGAAUGACAGCCUUUUCUGUAAAAACCAUCCACAUACAGACAACUAUACAGAGACCAAAGACAUACAGUACACAGCAAUUCUAUUGAAAUGGGAGUCAGGAACCGAAAAUGCCAUUUAAAUUAGUUGGUUUGAGUGUUGUUAUCUCAUUAAAAGCAUUUGUGUAUCAGUCAUACAGCUGACCAUACAAAGAAAGCAGACAUUGUCAUGAGAUUCAACAAUGCAGAGAAUAAUGCAGAGAAUAAGAAGAUCUUCUUCACAGCUAUAGCAAGUUGUGGUCAAAGUAAGCACAAUUAAUUCAAGUAAAAC